This 111-nucleotide ribosomal RNA is filed under the name Salix viminalis (osier). The record is from RNAcentral. Lineage: Eukaryota; Viridiplantae; Streptophyta; Magnoliopsida; Malpighiales; Salicaceae.
CGGUGCGAUCAUACCAGCCUAAUGCCCGAUCCCAUCAGAACUCGCAGUUAAAUGCUGGCGAGAGUAGUACUAGGAUGGGUGACCUCCUGGGAAGUUCUCGUGUUGCACCCC